UGUCUGUAGAAAAGACAGGAUGU
RNAcentral lists this non-coding RNA (23 nucleotides) under Gallus gallus (chicken). The record is from miRBase by way of RNAcentral. Lineage: Eukaryota; Metazoa; Chordata; Aves; Galliformes; Phasianidae.